UCCUCCGUGGCGCAAUUGGCUAGCGCGUCUGACUGUUACGCUUUCCGUCCUCGGAUGAGCAGCAAUCAGGAGGUUGACAGUUCAAGCCUGUCCGGGGGAG
RNAcentral lists this transfer RNA (100 nucleotides) under Thielaviopsis punctulata. RNAcentral's name for it is "Ceratocystis radicicola tRNA". It matches the Rfam family "tRNA". From Rfam's summary of the family: Transfer RNA (tRNA) molecules are approximately 80 nucleotides in length. Their secondary structure includes four short double-helical elements and three loops (D, anti-codon, and T loops). Further hydrogen bonds mediate the characteristic L-shaped molecular structure. tRNAs have two regions of fundamental functional importance: the anti-codon, which is responsible for specific mRNA codon recognition, and the 3' end, to which the tRNAs corresponding amino acid is attached (by aminoacyl-tRNA synthetases). tRNAs cope with the degeneracy of the genetic code in two manners: having more than one tRNA (with a specific anti-codon) for a particular amino acid; and 'wobble' base-pairing, i.e. permitting non-standard base-pairing at the 3rd anti-codon position. Lineage: Eukaryota; Fungi; Ascomycota; Sordariomycetes; Microascales; Ceratocystidaceae. The record is from Rfam by way of RNAcentral.